This 465-nucleotide ribosomal RNA is filed under the name uncultured bacterium. RNAcentral's name for it is "partial 16S ribosomal RNA". It matches the Rfam family "Bacterial small subunit ribosomal RNA", at positions 338 to 795 of the family's 1533-position model. The record is from RNAcentral.
CCUACGGGAGGCAGCAGUAGGGAAUCUUCCACAAUGGGCGAAAGUCUGAUGGAGCAACGCCGCGUGAGUGAAGAAGGGUUUCGGCUCGUAAAACUCUGUUAGUAGGGAAGAAAAAUAGAGGAAGUAACUAGCCUUUAUUUGACGGUAAUUACUUAGAAAGUCACGGCUAACUACGUGCCAGCAGCCGCGGUAAUACGUAGGUGGCAAGCGUUGUCCGGAUUUAUUGGGCGUAAAGCGAGUGUAGGCGGUUCAAUAAGUCUGAUGUGAAAGCCUUCGGCUCAACCGGAGAAUGGCAUAAGAAACUGGUGAACUUGAGGGCAGAAGAGGAGAGUGGAAUUCCAUGUGUAGCGGUGGAAUGCGUAGAUAUAUGGAAGAACACCAGUGGCGAAGGCGGCUUUCUGGUCUGCAACUGACGCUGAGGCUCGAAAGCAUGGGUAGCGAACAGGAUUAGAUACCCGAGUAGUC